Molecule: ribosomal RNA, 320 nt
Filed under: uncultured bacterium
Lineage: Bacteria
Description: bacterial SSU rRNA
Rfam family: Bacterial small subunit ribosomal RNA
Source: RNAcentral
UGACGGUACCACUUGAAUAAGCUCCGGCUAACUACGUGCCAGCAGCCGCGGUAAUACGUAGGGAGCAAGCGUUAUCCGGAUUUACUGGGUGUAAAGGGCGUGUAGGCGGGACUGCAAGUCAGAUGUGAAAGCACGGGGCUCAACUCCGUGUCUGCAUUUGAAACUGUAGUUCUUGAGUGCUGGAGAGGCUAACGGAAUUCCUAGUGUAGCGGUGAAAUGCGUAGAUAUUAGGAGGAACACCAGUGGCGAAGGCGGUUAGCUGGACAGUAACUGACGCUGAGGCGCGAAAGCGUGGGUAGCAAACAGGAUUAGAUACCCUG